UGCCAGCCGCCGCGGUAACAUGGGGGGCGCAAGCGUUAUUCGGAAUUAUUGGGCGUAAAGAGCGCGUAGGCCGGAAUGGAAGUCAGAUGUGAAAGCCCGGAGCUCAACUCCGGAAUUGCAUCCGAAACUCCAUUUCUUGAGGACAGGCGGAGAAGGCGGAAUUCCACGUGUAGCGGUGAAAUGCGUAGAUACGUGGAAGAACACCGGUGGCGAAGGCGGCCUUCUAGCUUGUUCCUGACGCUGAGGCGCGAAAGCAAGGGGAGCAAACAGGAUUAGAUA
This 279-nucleotide ribosomal RNA is filed under the name uncultured bacterium. RNAcentral describes it as "partial 16S ribosomal RNA". It matches the Rfam family "Bacterial small subunit ribosomal RNA", at positions 506 to 784 of the family's 1533-position model. The record is from RNAcentral.